Molecule: signal recognition particle RNA, 97 nt
Filed under: Oscillospiraceae bacterium
Lineage: Bacteria; Bacillati; Bacillota; Clostridia; Eubacteriales; Oscillospiraceae
Description: signal recognition particle sRNA small type
Rfam family: Bacterial small signal recognition particle RNA (bases 7-92)
About the family: The signal recognition particle (SRP) is a universally conserved ribonucleoprotein involved in the co-translational targeting of proteins to membranes. Archaeal SRP consists of a 7S RNA and homologues of the eukaryotic SRP19 and SRP54 proteins.
Source: RNAcentral
GAUGCACAUAUGUCACAAUAAGGCUCUGUGAACCAUGUCAGGCGGGGAACCGAGCAGCAUUAAGCAGAAGUCUUAUGUGUAGGCGUUGUGCCUCUGC